This 545-nucleotide long non-coding RNA is filed under the name Ananas comosus (pineapple). Its description in RNAcentral is "long non-coding RNA (ACOM_LNC008966)". Lineage: Eukaryota; Viridiplantae; Streptophyta; Magnoliopsida; Poales; Bromeliaceae. The record is from RNAcentral.
CAAUACCAAACACUAUUCACUCCAGGCAGUUUAAAAUUUGAUAUCUUUCGCCGGAGCUUCCUGAACAUCCGUUUGGGCUCAAAUUUGACAGGUAUAUCCGGUUUUACCUAACGAGUCCAAAAAAAUUUUAAUAUCUCAGUUUCGACCCCGUUUGGUCACCGAAAAUUAUACCGAACUGUAAUCUUUAUCAGAUAGCUGUCGGAUUUUAUUUCCAUCUUCCGGGUGUCAGAAUGACAUUAAACUUUAAAUCUAGCCUCAUAAAAAUAAUUCUGACUUAUCCUCCAGUUUUCAUAAUUUUCUGACACUGUGCAUUUUCUGCUAAUUUAUCUGUCCUGUUUCCAACAGAAAAUUCUAGAUCUUCUGUUUUCAUUCCGAUUUCAGCACAAGUCACUUCUGACUUAUGUUUUACUCCUCUAAAUCCAAUAAAAAUAGUAUCUCACUCUAUUUUUAUUUAUUUUUAUUUUAUACCAAAAUCUGGUAUGUUACAGUAAUCAUCUAACUGAACCAUUUAAUUAUUAAAACUACUAAGUGCGGAAAUAAAACAU